This 207-nucleotide ribosomal RNA is filed under the name uncultured bacterium. RNAcentral's name for it is "partial 16S ribosomal RNA". It matches the Rfam family "Bacterial small subunit ribosomal RNA", at positions 568 to 774 of the family's 1533-position model. The record is from RNAcentral.
CGCGUAGGCGGCCAGACAGGUCAGGUGUGAAAUCCCUUGGCUCAACCAAGGAAUUGCGCUUGAAACCGUAUGGCUAGAGUGCAGGAGAGGAGGGCGGAAUUCCUGGUGUAGCGGUGAAAUGCGUAGAUAUCAGGAAGAACACCGGUGGCGAAGGCGGCUCUCUGGACUGUAACUGACGCUGAGGCGCGAAAGCGUGGGGAGCGAACG